This 187-nucleotide transfer-messenger RNA is filed under the name Synergistaceae bacterium. RNAcentral's name for it is "partial transfer-messenger RNA". It matches the Rfam family "transfer-messenger RNA", at positions 178 to 374 of the family's 374-position model. From Rfam's summary of the family: Bacterial tmRNA, also known as 10Sa RNA or SsrA, is named for its dual tRNA and mRNA-like properties. Its role is to liberate the mRNA from a stalled ribosome. To accomplish this part of the tmRNA is used as a reading frame that ends in a translation stop signal. The record is from RNAcentral. Lineage: Bacteria; Thermotogati; Synergistota; Synergistia; Synergistales; Synergistaceae.
UAAAGACGUCAGACAGGAGGGCCGCUCCGGAGGAACUGCACCCGCACUCCGGCUAAGACAAGGGAGCUGGGGAGGAGAGAUCCGGUCACCGGGAGCUCGAAUCCGACACGAAAUCGGUGACUACGCUCGUAGAGCCUGUCUGGUUGGCCACUGUCGGACCGGAGUUCGAUGCUCCGCGCCUCCACCA